This 253-nucleotide ribosomal RNA is filed under the name uncultured bacterium. RNAcentral's name for it is "partial 16S ribosomal RNA". It matches the Rfam family "Bacterial small subunit ribosomal RNA", at positions 524 to 776 of the family's 1533-position model. The record is from RNAcentral.
UACGUAGGGUGCAAGCGUUGUCCGGAAUUAUUGGGCGUAAAGGGCUCGUAGGCGGUUUGUCACGUCGGGAGUGAAAACUCAGGGCUUAACCCUGAGCCUGCUUCCGAUACGGGCAGACUAGAGGUAUGCAGGGGAGAAUGGAAUUCCUGGUGUAGCGGUGAAAUGCGCAGAUAUCAGGAGGAACACCGGUGGCGAAGGCGGUUCUCUGGGCAUUACCUGACGCUGAGGAGCGAAAGUGUGGGGAGCGAACAGG